Molecule: microRNA precursor, 98 nt
Filed under: Hordeum vulgare
Lineage: Eukaryota; Viridiplantae; Streptophyta; Magnoliopsida; Poales; Poaceae
Description: miR6178 stem-loop (hvu-MIR6178)
Source: miRBase by way of RNAcentral
CUUUCAAAGACACGGAACUGGGCGGUUGCACUGAAGACAUUAAUUGUCAUACAUCGUGCCCUUCGAGAAGUUGACCCCACGUUUCGUGAAGAGCUUAU